GGGAUUAUUUAAUUUUGGCAAUAAGUUCGGGAGAACGGAUACUUUGGUCUCUGUGAGCACAGUCCUGACUACAACAAGGCUUUAUAGUUGCAAGUAACAGCUGAAUUUGGCUGCUUUCACCUGCACACACCAUUUGAGGUUGUGAUUUGUACCAAGGGAUACUGUUUUUCAAGUGGAGUAUUCCUUGCCUGUCCUUAAAACCUCAUGACCAAUGUCUCUGAGGGUGGUACGUGUGUUGUAAAUGAAACAAAUAAGGCAUUAAUGUGUUUGAGCACUUAGUGUAACUCCACUUCCCAGUCUGGAACUGCACAGCUGCCCACCUGCACACAGAGAAGUGAGUCAGAUGGUGCAAGGAGUCACUCUGAGACAUCUCAGCAAACAAAGUGGGACAGUGACACAGAUGUGCUCUGAGGCUUUGAAGAGGCUGAACUCCACUUCAGAGCAGACAGACUGACAGUAACUGAUUCCACAACUCCAAGGGGCACCAGCUCACAGAUUUUUGAAUAGGUGCCCCCAAGGGGUGUGCUGAGCUCAGUCCCCACGUAACCUGAAGAUGAGUUCGAGGGUUCCUUUUUUCUGAGAUAAAAGCUGAACAUCCCCACAUCUUAAGAAUCCUGCUCUAACUAGACAGCUUCAGAGAAGUUUGCUGAUCAAAUAUUUUGCUUCCCUUUUCUUUUUCAGAUCUCUUCACAUCUCUCCAUAAAUUCUCAUAUCUGAUCUCUGCACUUUGAUUUUUUUUUUUUCCCCAGUCUGAGAAGACCCUUUAGCACAUCAGUGAGGGAAAGGAGAACUCUUCAGUAUUUUUUGUAAAACUAAAGGAAGGUAAAGGUGGCAGAGGCUCUGGAACCAGCUCUAUAUGUCUGUGCCAAAGGGUGAAUACGUGGGGAGCUGUAUUGCUACUGCAGUGUGUGCUGUCACUGUGUUGUGACUGACAGCUGACUUACAGUCAAGCCAGCCUCUUCCCUAACCCUGAAUUUGUACAUAAAAGGAAUGAGAGACUCAUGUUCAAAGAAAUACAACUUCCUGAGAACACUCCUAUUGGUUCCUAGAAAAGAGAUUAAUUUGACCAGCUUGCUCUAAUCAUGGGAUUUUCAGGGUUGCUAAGGGCCAUAUGGACCUCUCUUACUGAAGGAAGCAAAUGAAUGGAUACUGUCUGGAUUCAAAACCUGCUGCACUUACAUGGUCAUUUUAGUUGGACAGCUUCAUCAAUCACCUCCAGAACGUCACUCAGUGAUGGAUGGUCACCUGUGCUCAGCAACCACAGCGGGAAAGAAGUGCUGGCAGAGGCAAUAAGUACCUGAGUCUCACUGAGCCAGUGCUCCUUCCUACCCAGAGGCCGACCCAUCAUUCCUUGUCUGAGGCACAAUGCAGAAACCAGAACCGUUCCUGGUCUCCCCUCUGGCAGCUCACAGCUGUGGGCCUAAAAAGCAGUCCAAAAAUCUGCACGGGAGAAAAGGGACAGAGCAGAGAGAUCAAAUUAAAACGCAGCCAUGGAGUACA
Long non-coding RNA from Pipra filicauda (Wire-tailed manakin), 1500 nucleotides. RefSeq lists it as uncharacterized. The record is from RefSeq and is a predicted model, not a curated record. The transcript is spliced from 2 exons. NCBI's taxonomy places the organism in Eukaryota, Metazoa, Chordata, Aves, Passeriformes, Pipridae.